Molecule: ribosomal RNA, 253 nt
Filed under: uncultured bacterium
Lineage: Bacteria
Description: partial 16S ribosomal RNA
Rfam family: Bacterial small subunit ribosomal RNA
Source: RNAcentral
UACGUAGGGGGCUAGCGUUGUCCGGAAUCAUUGGGCGUAAAGCGCGCGUAGGCGGCCCGAUAAGUCCGUUGUGAAAGUCAAAGGCUCAACCUUUGAAUGCCGAUGGAUACUGUCGGGCUAGAGUCCGGAAGAGGCGAGUGGAAUUCCUGGUGUAGCGGUGGAAUGCGCAGAUAUCAGGAGGAACACCAAUAGCGAAGGCAGCUCGCUGGGACGGUACUGACGCUAAGGCGCGAAAGCGUGGGGAGCGAACAGG